CCAAAGGAUUUUCUAAAUCCACAUACACUCACAGUCCAGUAGUUU
Plasmodium fragile is the source of this 45-nucleotide non-coding RNA. NCBI's taxonomy places the organism in Eukaryota, Apicomplexa, Aconoidasida, Haemosporida, Plasmodiidae. The record is from Rfam.